CAUGAUGUACAAUCCUUUUAAUGUAUUGUUGGAUGUGGUUUGCUAGUAUUUUGUUGAGGAUUUUUGCAUCGAUGUUCAUCAGUGAAAUUGGCCUGUAGUUUUCUUUUUUUGUGGUAUCUUUGUCUGGUUUUGGUACCAGGGUGAUGGUGGCCUCAUAGAAUGAGUUUGGGAGUAUCCCUUCCUCUGCAAUUUUUUGAAAUAGUUUCAGAAGGAGAGGUGUUAGCUCUUCUCUAAAUGUUUGAUAGAAUUCGCCUGUGAAGCCAUCUGGUCCUGGACUUUUGUUUGUUGGAAGUUUUUUAAUCACAGUUUCAAUUUCAGUUCUUGUGAUGGGUCCAUUCAUCUUUUCUAUUUCAUCUUGGUUUAGUCUUGGAAGAUUGUACUUUUCUAAGAAUUUGUCCAUUUCUUCUAGGUUUUCCAUUUUAUUGGCAUAUAGUUGCAUAUAGUAGUCUCUUAUGAUCCUUUGUAUUUCUGUGAUGUCCGUUGUUACUUCUCCUUUUUCAUUUCUAAUUUUAUUGAUUUGAGUCCUCUCUCUUUUUUGCUUGAUAAGUCUGGCUAGGGGUUUAUCAAUUUUGUUGAUCUUUUCAAAGAACCAGCUUUUCGUUUCAUUGAUCUUUUCUAUGGUUUUCUUUGUUUCUAUUUCAUUGAUUUCUGCUCUGAUCUUUAUGAUUUCUUUCCUUCUACUAACUUUAGGUCUUGUCUGUUCUUCUCUCUCGAGCUGCUUUAGAUGUAAAGUUAGCUUGUUUAUUUGAGCUUUUUCUUGUUUCCUGAGGUGGGCUUGUAUUGCUAUAAACUUUCCUCUUAGAACGGCUUUUGCUGCAUCCCAUAGGUUUUGGAGUGUCGUAUCUUCGUUGUCAUUUGCUGCUAGGUAUUUUUUAAUUUCCUCUUUGAUUUCUUCAGUGAUCCAUUGGUUGUUUAGUAGCAUGUUGUUGAGUCUCCACGUGUUUGUGUUUUUUGCAGUUUUUUUCUUGUUGUUGAUUUCCAGUCGUAUAGCAUUGUGGUCGGAAAAGAUGCUUGAUAUGAUUUCAAUUUUCUUAAAGUUACUGAGGUUGGAUUUGUAGCCCAGGAUAUGAUCAAUCUUAGAGAAUGUUCCAUGUGCACUUGAGAAGAAUGUGUAUUCUGUUGCUUUUGGAUGGAAUGUCCUAUAAAUAUCUAUUAAGUCCAUCUGGUUUAAUGCUUCAUUCAGGGCCUGUGUUUCCUUAUUGAUUUUCUGUCUGGUUGAUCUGUCCAUUGCUGUAAGUGGGGUGUUAAAGUCCCCCACUAUGAUUGUGUUAUUGUCGAUUUCUCCUUUUAAGGUUGUUAGCAGUUGCCUUAUAUACUGUGGUGAACCUGUGUUGGGUGCGUAGAUAUUUACAAUUGUUUUAACAUCUUCUUGGAUUGAUUCUUUGAUCAUUAUGUUAUGUCCUUCUUUGUCCCUGAAAAUAUUCUUCAUUUUAAAGUCUAUUUUGUCUGAUAUGAGUAUUGCUACUCCAGCUUUCUUUUGAUCCCCGUUUGCAUGAAAUAUUGUCUUCUAUCCUCUCACUUUCAAUUUGUAUGUGUCCCUAGAAGUGAAGUGGGUCUCUUGAAGACAGCAUAUAUAUGGGUCUUGUUUUUGUACCAAUUCAGCCACUCUAUGUCUUUUCGCUGGGACGUUUAGUCCAUUAACAUUGAAGGUAAUUAUUGGUAUGUAUAUUCUUAUUGCCAUUUUAUUAAUUACUUUGGAUUUGUUUUUGCUGCUCUUUUUCCUUUCCUUCUUCUCUUGUUCUUUUCUGCCUAGAGAAGUUCCUUUAGUAUUUGUUGUAAUGCUGGUUUAGAGUUGCUGAGUUCUCUCAGCUUUUGCUUAUCUGAGAAGGUUUUGAUUUCUCCUUCAGAUCUGAAUGAGAGCCCUGCUGGGUAGGUCUAGGUUGGAGGUUUUUUCCUUUCAUCAUGUUAAGUAUAUCAUGCCACUCCCUUCUGGCCUGCAGAGUUUCUGUUGAAAAAUCUGCCGAUAGCCUUAUCAGGGUUCCCUUGUAUGUUAUUUGUUUCUUUUUUGUAGCUGCUUUCAAGAUUUUCUCUUUGUCUUUAAUUUUGGUCAGUUUGAUUCAUAGGUGUCUUGGGGUGUUCCUCCUUGGGUUUAUUUUAUAUGGUACUUGUUGUGCUUCCUGGAUUUGAGUGAGUGAUUCUUUCCCCAUGUUAGGGAAGUUUUCGGGUAUUAUCUCUUGGAAUAUUUUUUCUGUCUCCUUCUCUCUCUCUUCUCCUUCUGAAACCCCUAUAAUACGGAUGUUGGUGCGUUUCACAUUGUCCCAGAGUUCUCUGAGACUCUCUUCAUUUGUUUUCAAUCUUUCUCCUCUUUUCUGUUCUGCAUCCAUAAUUUCCACUAAUUUGUCCUCCACCUUGCUUAUUCGUUCUUCUGCCUCCUGUAUUCUGCUGUUAGCUGCUUCUAGUGAAUUUUUUAUUUCAGUUAUUGUAUCUUGCAUCUCUUUUUGUUUAAGUUUUAUAUCUUGUAUCUCUUUGGUCAGUGUUUCCUGUAAGGUAUCCAUCUUUGCCUCCAGUUUAUUUCCAAUGGUUUGUAUCAUCUUCAGCAUCAACAGUUUGAAGUCUUUUUCCUGGAGGCUGAGAAUCUCCUCAUGGGUUAGCUGUUUUUCUGUGGUUUUUCCUUUCUCCCUCAUCUGAGUUAUAGUCUUCUGUCUUUUCACUUUUAUAGGUUUUUGGUGUGGUGACCUUCUUACAGAUAAUAGAGUUGUAGCCUCUCUUACUUCUGAUGUCUGCCCCCCUGUGGCUGAAGUCAGUAUGGGGGCUUGGUGUAGGCUUCCUGAUGGGAGGGCUGAUGCCUGCCCCCUGGUAGGAGGAGCCAACUCUAAUCCCUCUGGUGGUUGGGGCUUAGUCUCUGGAUGGGAUUAGAGGCAGCUGUGUGCCUGAGGGGUCUUUAGGCAGCCUGUUUACUGAGGGGCAGGGCUGUGAUCCCACCUGGGUUGUUGUUUGCCCUGGGGCUUCUCAGGGGCUGGCUGUUGGUUGGGGCCAGAUUUUCCCAAAAUGGCCACCUCCAGAGAAAGGCACUGCUGCUGGAUAUUCCCGAGAGCUUUGCUUUCAAUGUCCUUCCUUCCCAACAAGCCACAUUCAUCCCUGUUUUCCCAGGAUGUCCUCCAAGAACUGUGGUCAGGUUUGACCCAGAUUCCCUUGGAGAUUUUGCUUUGCCCUGGGACCCAGUGCACGUGAAAGUCUGUGUGCACCUUUUAAAAAUGGGG
RNAcentral lists this long non-coding RNA (3200 nucleotides) under Sus scrofa (pig). RNAcentral's name for it is "lncRNA (ENSSSCG00055017320.1)". The record is from RNAcentral. Lineage: Eukaryota; Metazoa; Chordata; Mammalia; Artiodactyla; Suidae.